GAUCUCCAUGCUAAGAUCUCCACGUUUGUUCAGGGUCCGACUGAAACUUUCAAAGCUGCGUUGGAGAGGUUCAAGGGAUAUCAGAGAGACUGUCCACAUCACGGGUU
RNAcentral lists this small nucleolar RNA (107 nucleotides) under Arabis alpina (gray rockcress). RNAcentral's name for it is "snRNA ENSRNAG00050205369". The record is from RNAcentral. Lineage: Eukaryota; Viridiplantae; Streptophyta; Magnoliopsida; Brassicales; Brassicaceae.